GCGGACGUGGCGAAAUUGGUAGACGCACUAGAUUUAGGUUCUAGCGAGCACCCCUCAUGAGAGUUCGAGUCUCUCCGUCCGCA
Transfer RNA from Chrysochromulina sp., 83 nucleotides. It matches the Rfam family "tRNA". From Rfam's summary of the family: Transfer RNA (tRNA) molecules are approximately 80 nucleotides in length. Their secondary structure includes four short double-helical elements and three loops (D, anti-codon, and T loops). NCBI's taxonomy places the organism in Eukaryota, Haptophyta, Prymnesiales, Chrysochromulinaceae. The record is from Rfam.